UACGGAGGGUGCGAGCGUUGUCCGGAUUUAUUGGGUUUAAAGGGUGCGUAGGCGGCCAGUUAAGUCCGGGGUGAAAGCCCGCUGCUCAACAGCGGAACUGCCCUGGAUACUGCCUGGCUUGAGUACAGACGAGGUUGGCGGAAUGGACUGAGUAGCGGUGAAAUGCUUAGAUAUCGUCAAGAACACCGAUAGCGAAGGCAGCUUACUAGACUGUAACUGACGCUGAUGCACGAAAGUGUGGGGAUCAAACAGG
RNAcentral lists this ribosomal RNA (253 nucleotides) under uncultured bacterium. Its description in RNAcentral is "partial 16S ribosomal RNA". It matches the Rfam family "Bacterial small subunit ribosomal RNA", at positions 524 to 776 of the family's 1533-position model. The record is from RNAcentral.